RNAcentral lists this ribosomal RNA (392 nucleotides) under uncultured bacterium. RNAcentral describes it as "partial 16S ribosomal RNA". It matches the Rfam family "Bacterial small subunit ribosomal RNA", at positions 523 to 918 of the family's 1533-position model. The record is from RNAcentral.
AUACGUAGGGGGCGAGCGUUGUCCGGAUUUAUUGGGCGUAAAGGGUGCGUAGGCGGCCUUGUAAGUCAGAUGUGAAAGAUCAUGGCUUAACUGUGGUAAGCAUUUGAAACUGCAGGGCUUGAGUACAGGAGAGGAGAGUGGAAUUCCUAGUGUAGCGGUGAAAUGCGUAGAUAUUAGGAGGAAUACCAGUGGCGAAGGCGACUCUCUGGACUGAUACUGACGCUGAGGCACGAAAGCGUGGGGAGCAAACAGGAUUAGAUUCCCUGGUAGUCCACGCUAUAAACGAUGGGUGCUAGGUGUCGGGGGUCAAACCUCGGUGCCGCAGUGAACACAUUAAGCACUCCGCCUGGGGAGUACGGCCGCAAGGCUGAAACUCAAAUGAAUUGACGGGG